CCCCCUCUAAUCAUCUCUCUCAUUCACUAUCUUCAGAGAGCACAAACCAAACCCUAGCGCCGCCCUAAUUUUCCCACCAUCUCUGGUGGCGGCGCCGUCCCAAUCGACCCCAAAAUUAACACCAUACAACCCCCAUGACAUUCUCAUGCCAAAUUCAUAACCAUUUGCCCUCGAAUUAGUCUGUAACUCUUCGAAUCGUGAAUCGAAUUUCUGAAACCUAAAAUCCCAAAAGCCUCAAAAUCGAGAUUUCAGUGAGGAUUUAGGUUUUGUUUGAUUUUAUUCGUGUGUUCUUGACAAGAAUUCGCGAUUAAGAUCAAACUUGACCAAAAAUUUGAAAAUUUGAAGGUCUCUUUCGAUUUUUCACUGUCCAUUACCACUUAUUAGGUAUUUUUCUUUAUCUUAUGUUAUUUAAUUUUUAUUUUUUUAGUUCACUUCUCAUCUUUUUCUGUUUCUUUCUUUUAUUUUCUGAUUUUUUUCCAUUUUUUCCAUCUCUUUGAACCAUCCGUGUUUGCAUGUUAGUUUUAGACUUGUUUAGUUGGUAUUUAUUUUCUGAUUUUAUGUUUGAAUGUGUUUUGAUUUUUAUUUUUAUUUGGGUCUAAAUUUAACAAGUCUUUAAAACUCUUUAAAUGAGCAUUCGAGAGUUUCUAAGUUUCAAUAUUGAUUUGGGUUCUGAAAAACUAAAAACCCAAAAAGGGAUUUGAAGCAGAUUCAUCAAGCCCAAUUUUAACAGCUUGAUUUGGAUCAAUUUGAACCAUGUCUGUUUGAUUUUUUAAGUAAUUAGCAUGGGUUUAGGGGUAGUCUAGGAAUUUAGGCUCGGGGAAUCUCUAAUAACUGAUUUAGGAAAGUGCCUUUGGGACUAUUUUGAAAACUGAGUUCUUAAGCUAAGGGUAUAGCAGCGAAUUUAAAAAUUGUAAAAGAUUUUAAGUGCAAAACUAAAUGCAUUUAUGAUGCCCUAACACCUUGCCUACAAAUGCAUUCUUACUUCAUUAACAAGGCAGAUGGGGAGAGACUAAAAUUCUGAAAAAGUUGCAAACGGCUGGGGUCUCUUUCAAGCUUUUAAAACACUAAAAUCAUGCUAAAACUGGGUUCCUAGUUUUUGAUUUUGUUUUCUUUGGUUCAUUAGAAUUUCUGAAAGUAGUAAUUGGCUUUUGGUUGGUAUGGAUAAUUGAAAAAUAGUUUAAGCUGGGGUUUAAAGUUUGUUUUGAGCUGCUGUUAGGAUCACUGUUUCAUUGCUGAUGCUAAACUGACCUCUGAUGCUGCUCUCUUGAUGAUUCUUCACCUCUUUGCAUCUCUUUUAAUUCCCAUGUACAUGUUCCUGAAUCUUAUCUAAUGUAAAACUCGAGUGGAAGAAUGAAAUAAAAUCCUAGCUCAAAUGACGAAUCAAAUCCAUAUUUGAAAUAUCAAAUCUCAAGCCCUCGCUUUAAUCUUUUUAAUGAAUUUCAACCAAUGUCCAUGUUAAUUCUAUCAUAAACUUGAAUAAUUAGGCCAAGGAACUUACCUCUAAUCGUUCUCCCUUGAAUCCCUCUUCAAAACUCGCCCCAAAGCUCUCAAAGCUUGCUAAAAAAUGGAGGAAAAUAAUGCCUAGCUCGCGGAGGAAAUAAGACCUUUAAACCCUUCUGCCAAUAGUCCUUUUCGCUUCUGCGAUUGGAAUACCGCACCGGCGUUCACCGCAUUUGCGCAAAUUUCACCGCUUCUGCGAUUCAACUUAAAAUCACCAGGACCGCUUCUGCGGUCCAAAGCCGCUUAUGCGGUAGACGCUUAUGCGAGAUCUUGUCCGCUUCUGCAGAAAAGUCAAGCCCCCACUAGAACCGCUUCUGAGACCUCCCCGCCGCAUAUGCGGAACCGCCUAUGCGGUCCCUUUUUCCGCAGAUGCGGAAAUGACAGAACCAGCAAUUCCAAAACAUGCAACAAACUCCAAACUCUCCAUUUAACCAUUUGAUCUCUCCCCGAAGACCCCAGGACCUUAACCAAGAGAACAUACAUGAUCCAUUACCUUAUUCAAACUUGCUCGAAUUAUCAAAUCACUUUCAUUAACAUCAAAAUCAUCAAAUUUCACCAAAUCAAAGCCUAAGUUUAUCAGUUUCUUCCGAAACUAACAUUCGAUAAAAAAUCCAACCUAAACACCUUCGCAGGAUCUGAAACUUUGCAAACAUAUCAAAAAUCACCUAACGGAGCUACUGCAACUAUCUGAAUUCCAUUCUAACCCUCGGAUCAAAUUCUCACCUAUCAACCGGAAUUUGCCAAAAUACGGACUCUGUCAAUUCAAACCUAAUUCUACAACGGACCUCCAAAUUCAAUUCUGAUCAUGCUCCUAAGUCUCAAUUCAUUCCCCAAAGCUAACCAAAUCACCAGAAAUUGCAUUCGAUCCCUAUAACUCACUAGUCAACAUCCAGUUGACUUUUCCAACUUAAGCAUUCCUUAAAGAGACUAAGUGUCUCAUUUCUUAUCAAAAUCAGUCCAAAUCAACUCUAUCACACCACAUACCGAUAACAACAUAUGAACAAGCUUAACAUAGGGGAAACGGAGCAGUACCACCUGAGAAGACGGGUCGGGUCAUCACAAUUUUGGGAUCCAAGUAAUAUGUAUGCUAAUUUUCUAGAUUGGUUACUGCUAGUAUUGGGAAGAGUUUAAUUGAGUUUACAUUUUAUUAAGUAGUAGUUAGUGCAAAGUCAUGUGAAAAGAAAAGGGAAAAAUGAUCAAGGUUGCUUUAAGAGUAAAGGCAUGUAGUGAUUUAAUCUUAGUUGUAUGUGAGCAUGUUAAGUUGGAAUUGGUGUUUAAAUUUCAGAAUGAUCAGCAAGUUAACUUGUGCUUGAAUAGUUAAAAUUUAAAAGUGAGAGUUAGUUCAAUUGCAUGUUUCAUAUAGCCUGGAUUGAUUUGCUUUUAAUGACUUUGUACAAUUGUUGGUUCUGAAAAUUUGGGCCUAAAGAUGGCCCAAUUAACGGAUGUCUGAUUUCAGAUUCGAUAUCAUAUUUUGUGUCCUUGGACUUCCUCUCCACAUAAAAAAUUGGGCUUGUUUGGCCCAAGCCUGAAGGUAUUUUAAAUGGGUUCAUGUAGUUGCUAUUUGCUGUAGCAAUUUGUCCUUGAGUUAAUUAGUCUUUUAAUUCAAUGACCAUUAUUUAAUAAGUAGGGCGAACUUUAGCUUGAAAUAAUUAGAACCCCUUGGUUGGUUUUGUUGGUAGUCUAACCUCCCCUCUUUCACAAGAUCCAAAGGCACAGAUAGCCUCUGCAAGCAAUCUACCAAUCAUCGUCCCUGAGGAUAGCCCAACAUUGGCUAUUCUAUAGCUAGAAUCAAUAGCUGCUAAAGAGAAUAAGAUAUUGCGUCUCCGCAUAAUGGAAAUAUGGGACGCCUGGUCUAAUGGUAGGGUACCACCAAGUGCAAUCCUUGGGUUCCUUGACUUGAUCCCCGUGUCAGGCCACGUUACCAACGCCCCUAUGCCCAACGCGCUUAUCCCAUGUGGGCACCCUCCAAUGCCCUCCAGUGAUCCUAGCAUGCCUUUGGUGGUUCACCCUGAAGGACCGUUUUCAAGGGCACCGCCUCCAAUAUUCAUCUUUCAGGGUCCACAGCUUCAGCCAGAAAUAACAUAUGUGACCCCAUACUCUUUCACUCAACCUCCAUAAUAUGACCUCUCUGCGGAGCAAGAAAAUUUUGUUAAAAAUCCCGAGCAAGAAGAAAUGGCUUGGAAUAUGAAGAGCAUAGAACAAAUCUUGGUAAACAUGCAAGGUUUGAGUGGCCAAAAGAGUGUAUCAUACUCUGACCUCUGUAUGUUUCCCUAUGUCCACUUGCCACCUGGCUUCAAGAUGCCAAAAUUUGAAAAGUACGAUGAGCAUGGAGACCCGAUUGCUCAUCUGAAGCAAUACUGUAACCAGUUGCGGGGUGCUGGUUGAAAAGAGGAGUUGCUAAUGGCCUAUUUUGGGGAAAGCCUCACCGGAAUCUCUUCUGAGUAGUAUACGAAUCAAGAAAUUACUCAUUAGCAUGUGUGGGACGAUAUGGCUCGAGAUUUUGUCCGCCAGUUCCAGUAUAAUGUGGACAUCACUCCCGACAGGAACACUUUGUCCAAUUUGAAAAAGAAAACCACGAAAAUCUUCCGCGAGUAUGCUGUCAAAUGGCGUGAGCAAGCUGCCAGGGUAAUGCCUCCAAUGGAUGAAAUUGAAAUGGUCACUAUCUUUCUACAUGCCUAAGAGGCUGACUACUUUCAAAACAUGAUGUCUGUUGUAGGUAAGUCAUUCGCUGAAGUUAUCAAAAUUGGGGAAAUUGUUGGAAGCGGUUUAAAAACGGGUCGAAUCUUGAGUCAUGAUGCUUUUAAGGCCACAUCACAGGCUGAUCAAAACAGUUCGGAGGGUUUGAUGAGCAAAAAUAGAAGAAAAGAGGGAGUCAUGAUGGCUUCAAGCUCGAGGGGGCUCACAUGUCAUUCAGCCAAUCAUACGUGUAGUAUUAUCCCCUUCAAUGACGAUUAUGCCGUGGCACCGCCUCCCUAUGUGGUGAUGAAUGCGCAACCCUACCUGGGACCACACCAUUAUCCAAAAAAUCAGGCUCCACCUCCUAGAAAUGCCCAUCCUUACCAAGCUCCAUAUAAUCCUUAACCAAAUUAUCCCCAAUAUAAUCCUCGCCCAAGUGAGCCUUUCAGAAAGAAUCAGUUCACCCAUAUUAGUGAAUCGUAUUCAAGCUUGUUCCAAAAGCUAAUCCGGCUAGAUCUAUUGCAUCUAGUGGCCCCGAACCGGUCGUACCUCAUGUCCCCCUUGCACCGAGCUAAUGCUAUAUGUGAAUACCACUCUGGAGCAGUGGUACAUAGUACAGAAGACUGUUGGACCCUCAAAAGGGAAGUUGAAGAUUUGAUUGAAUCUUAAAGAAUCAUUUUUCGGGAUGAAGAAGUUCGUGAUAGUAUGAACAAUCAGUUGUCUGCCCACAACAUUAGACCAAUAGUCGGGAUGGUUUGUGAAGAUGAGGAAUUUGAUCUGUUACUGAAGGCCAUUGCAACCAUUGCCGAGAUAAAAGAAAAGUCAAAGAAUGGUUGUCAAGCAUGAAAGUUCCCAUCAGAUGGGAGUCUCGGUAGUCAGCCUUGCUAUUCUUUCUGUGUCCGAGUUGUCUCAAGGUGUGAUUCGGAUGUUUUACUUUAUUGUAUUACUUUAGUAUGUAAACCCUUCUAUAUUCAAAAAUUUUUAAAAAUCAAAAAUAAAAAUAAAUCAAAUGAAAUCAAUAUUUCAUUGUCUAGAAAUAUCUCUUUUCUUAAUUCCACUUUUCUUAAUUCCACUUUUCUUAUUCUCUCUUUACAACUCUUAAAUAAGAUUUCAGUAACAUGAUAUGCUUGAGGAUUUCAUGCCUAGAUCUUGAAAGCUGUCAGAUCUCAAAAUAAUAAAUUAAGGAUUAGAUCGCAAUGAAGAUAAAGUUGAAGCAAAUAAAACAAAGAGUUGGAACAUCUGAAGGAAAAUUGGUUCCAGAUCGGAAAGGCCCAUACAUUACGACAAGAGUACUACCAAAAGAAUGUGUUGUACUUGAGUCACGUUAAAGGAAAUGUCCCCGAAACAACUGUUGUGCAAAUGUAGUCAGAAGGUGCUCUAUUUGAUCCUCCAUAUAUUAUUAAUAUUCUCCAGUUGGGAUGACGAAGGCUUUCAUUCUCGCUACCCAAACACUAUCAACCUUUGCAAACUCUUUGAGCCGGUUACUCUUGUUUGACUAUCCUCUUUGGAACUUGAAAGUGUCACUGAAAACAAAUUUUGAAAAAAAAAGUGAUGACGAAAAAAAAGAAAAAAAAAAGACAAAGAAAAUGAAAAAAAGAGAGGAAAAAGGAAAAAAAAUAAGAAAACAAAACGAAAAAGAGAAAAAAAACAAAGCAUAAAAACAAAAAAAUUGAAAAACAAAAGAAAACAGAAAAAACAAAAGAAGACCAAAAAACAAAGUUCCUUGAACUACGUUCGACUUGAUUCUGAAAAGAUACGUAGGCAGCCUCUCUCUGGGGUUCAGUCACACCAAUAUAAAAAUCAAAAUUUCCCCCGAAAGUGAAACUGGGGCGGAUGUUAAAAUGGUUCAACAAUGAUCUCACAUGAAUGGUUCCAAAGUUGUAACUCAAUCUAAUUCGUUUUUACCCCAAAACCCUAUUCAAGUCCUUCUGAUCAAUCGACAAAGAGGUUCGAAAUGGGAGGAUAGAGUUACUUGGAUCUAAUACAGUAAAAUUCGAUAGAUUAAAUGAGAGUCUUAUUGGUGAAAACCCACACGAGCACCGUGAGGUGACAGUAAGCAGAGAAACAAAAUGAGAGCGUCUUAAUGGUAAAAACCCACACGGGCACCGUGAGGCGACAGUAAGCAGAGAAAUUGAAAUGAGAGAGUCUUGUUAGUGAAAACUCGCAAAGAGCACUAUAAGGUGAUGGCGUGAAGAUAAAUGAGAGAGGUCAGCUCAUGAAAAUCUGCAAAGGGCAUCCCUAAUCAAAAAGAGGGUCCUCACAGCCAUCGGCGUCGACAGAGUCCUGGCAAGGUUCUCGAUUUCGAGGCAAAGUUGUGAUGAAUUUCUGAGAGUCGAAUGGUUUACAUAUAUCAGGCAUCCAGUCCAAAAAGGCAUGUCAUUUUCAUUGAAGUUCGCAUGCACUCCAGAUAAGUCCUUCUUUCUUCUCACCGAAAGGGAUACCUCUCGUUUAAAUUCAUUAUCCUGUCCAUUGUUUAUUUUUCUUUGAAUCCCUUUCGAUUUAACUUUAUUCCGGAACUGAGACAAAGAAGAUAUGGCAAGACUAAUUUACAGGGCUUUCGUUUGACAUGAGCUAAUGUGCAAAAAGGCACCUGGCCUCGUCAAGGGCAUCAAGUCGACCUCGACCAGCCAUGGCAGGCGAUGCUUCGAAAUCAAAACUCUCAGAAGGAGAAAAUCAAGUUGAAGUGCCUAUAAAUUCAAAUGAAGUUGAAAAUGUUGAGUCUCACGUGGCAAACCAUCUCGGCAAAAGUUUGAAAAGUAAAGGUACCAAAAUGAUCUGAAAUUAAAGUUAGAAGAAAGAAGCUCGAAGUGAAAGGCUUACGAAGGAGAAAUAAAGUUUGAAAGAUUAAUUCCCAAGCGACUAGCCGUUGCAGCAAAGUUUGAGGAGCCAAAAGUUUCCCAAUGUUCCGAAGAAAAGAAAAUAAAAUAAAAUAAAUGAAAAAAUGAAAAAAAUAAAAGAAAAGAAAGUCAAAAAAGAAAGCCUACGAAGGCAAAAUAAAGUAGAAAUGGUUGAUUUCCACGGACCAACCAUCAUGGCAAAAUCUGGAAAAACCAGAGGUUCUCAGGGCCUGAAAUUAAAUUGGUCCCCAGGAAACAAGCAGCAGAGAUUCUCACCAAAAGAGUUGGGGCGAGAUCAAGUGAUCAAAAAUAAUCAAGACCAAAAAACCAACUACCGUUUCAAACUAACAAUUGUUCUUUGUUUGAAAAAAUUAAAACAGGUGCAGUCCAAAGCAACCGUGCAACCAAAAAAGAAAAGAAAGGUGCAAGUGACAAAAACAACUUUGCAGCAAUAAUCAAUCCAAAAGGGAAGUAUCCUCCAAUUUCUUUCCUGCAUUUUAACUUUAAAAAAUGAAAAAAACGAGAUAUAAGAAGAAAAUCCGAAAAAGGGGGGUAGUUUAGAAUCCCCAAUAUCAAUCUUUUACUUUUUUAGCCAACAUAGUGCUCCAAUCCUUAAUAGAGAUUUUAGACAUAUGGCCUCCAUUUCCUAGUCGCCGUUUUUGCCAACAUAUGUCUUUAUUCCCUAGUUGAGAAUUUUUAGACAUAGGGCAUCCAUUCCCUAGUCGCAUUUUUGCCAACAUUAGGACUCCAAUCCCUAAGUUGAGAUUAUUAAACAUAGGGCCUCCAUUCCCUAGUCUCCUUUUGCCAACAUUUGGGCUCCAAUCCCUGAGUUGAGAUUUUUAAACAUAGGGACUUCAUUCCCUAGUCGCCUUUUUUGCCAAAAUUAGGGCUCCAAUCCUUGAGUUGAGAUUUUUAGACAUAUGACCUCCAUUCCCUAGUCGUCUUUUCUGCCAACAUUAGGGCUCCAACCCCUAAGUUGAGAUUUUAGACAUAGGGCUUCCAUUCCCUAGUUGCCUUUUUUACCAACAUUAGGCCUCCAAUCCCUGAGUUGAGAUUUUAGACAUACGGCCUCCAUUUCCUAGUCACCUUUUGCUAACAUUAGGGCUCCAAUCCAUGAGUUGAGAUUUUUAGACAUAGGGCCUCCAUUCCCUAGUCGUCUUUUUACCAACAUUAGGGAUCCAAACCCUGAGUUGAGAUUUUAGACAUAGGAUCUCCAUUCCCUAGUCACCUUUUGCCAACAUUAGGCCUCCAAUCCCUGAGUUGAGAUUUUUAGACAUAGGGCCUCCAUUCCCUCGUCGCCUCUUUCCAACAUCAGGGCUCUAAUCCCCGAGUUGAUAUUUUUGACGUAGGGCCUCCAUUCCCUAGUCGCCUUUUGCCAACAUUAGGGCUCCAAUCCCUGAGUUGAGAUUUUUAAAUAUAGGGCCUCCAUUCCCUAGUUGCCUUUUUUCUAACAUUAGAGCUCUAAUCCCUGAGUUGAGAUUUUAAGACGUAGGGCCUCCAUUUUCUAGUCGCCUUUUGCCAACAUUAGGGCUCCAAUCCCAGAGUUGAGAUUUUAGACGUAGGGCUUCCAUUCCCUAGUCGCUUUUUUUCCAACAUAGGGUCUUCAUUCCCUAGUUAAGAAUUUUAGAUAUAGGGAUCCAUUCCCUAAUCUUUCCUCCUAAAGACACACAGUCCUUAUUUUAUCGCUUUCAAAAAAAAGAAGAGAAAAGGUUUAGAUCUUAGUUACAAAUAACUCACGAAAUUUUCCUAGUGAAAACUGGGGCAGAAACAUUUUGUUCGUUUGUUUGUUUUGUUGUUUGAGAAAGUCUGACCUUGAGGCACAUGAUUCGAGAUUACAAAAAGAAUGAAUCUUAAUCCAAAAUAAAGAAAAGAACAAAAAAGAAGUGAACACAGAAUGCUGAAGUGGAGAAAGACGCGGGCUGCUCAAGAUAUGAUUGAAGUUACAAGCUCCGCAUGUGCCGCCUUGAUCCAAAGCUGGAGAAAGAACCAGCACCUACAGCUGAUGAGCAUCAACAUUCAGAUCAGAGUCCAUAGCAAGAAUUAGCUAAGACUCAAGAUCAAGCUUUAAGAGAUUUAUAGAUAAAAAGCUUGUACCUCGUAGCUGAUAGAAUUAGCUAGCUUAGCUUUUUAUUUUUUAUUUUGGUGUAAUAAGUUGAAAUUACAUCUUCCUGGUAGUAUCAGCUACUAAAACUUUUAGAACUAUACUGAUCUUAUUCUUUCAUAGCUAAAGAUAUGUAGGCACCUUUGAAGCAUGAUUCGGUCAGACUCUUUUCAAAAUUAUUUCUCAUAGAGUGUCAAACGGGCAAAAAUUCCUCAUAAUUGCUCAUUUUAUCUUUGCCCGAAAAUCCUUCGUGUCACCAAGCAAAGUGGAGCAGUUGUGAGCACGUGAAUUUUUCUCACAUGAAUUACUCAUACAGAAUUCCCAAAAUCAGAUUUUUCUUUAAUUAUUGGUUAUUUUAGGAAGUAUUGUAGAAUUUUCAUGAUUGUUCGCAUUUUUCGUGUGCAUGUUUAAUCUUUUUAAAAUCAUAAUAAACACAAAAAUACAUUUGCAUUUGUAUUUAGAAUUUAAUUUAAUAUUUUUAGACUAAUUAGUAAAUUAGUGUUUUACAAAAAUGGAAAAAUCACAAAAAAUAGUUUAUGUUGCAUUUUCACUCUUUAAUUUUGAAUUUUGUAGCUUAUUCUUUCAAAUCAGGAGUUAGUUAAUUUUUGUAAAUAUUAUACUUGAAUAAUUAAUAUUUUUGAUAGGUUAAUUUAGUUUCAAGAUUUAAAUUAGGUUUUACUUUUAAAUUUUGAAAAGGAAAAGAAUUUGGAAAAAGGAAAAAGAGAAGGGAAAGAGUUAGGGAGUCAGCUUUUUGGGCCAUCUCAUUUAAUAUUCCCCAAGCACAAACCAAAUUUCCCCCUUUUACCCGUUCAAACCCGAUCAAAUUGGACCAAAACCUAUGUGAUACUCGGUCUUUCCAACUCAGAACCAAACAACCACUUUUUGAUUGCCUGUAAUAUGAGACAUCGAACCUAAAUCCUCUUGAUCGAACGGCUCAGAACUGACCCCCAUUUUUAUAUAAAAUUGUCCUAACUUUCCCCCCUUAUCACCUCUUUCAUUCACCAUCUUUAGAGACCACAAACCAAACCUUAGCGCCGCCCCAAUUUUCCCACCAUAUCCGGUAGCGGCGUCGUCGACCCAAAAAUUAACACCAUACAACCCCAUGAGAAACUUAUACCAAAUAAAUAACUCUUUUCCCUCGAAUCAAUCUUGAACUCUUCGAUUCUUGGAUUGAAAUUCUGAAACAUAAUAUCCCAAAAGCCUCAAAAUCGAGAUUUCAGUGAGGAUUUAGGUUUAGUUUGAUUUUAUUCGUGUGUUCUUGAGAAGAACACACGACUAAGGUCAAUUCAGUCAAAAUUUGAAGAUUUGAAGGUCCCUUUCUAUUUUUUCUCUGUCCAUGACCACUUCUUAGGUAUUUUUCUUUAUCUUAAGUUAUUUAAUUUUUAUUUUUUAUAGUUCACUUUACAUCCUCUUCUGUUUCUUCCUUUUAUUUUCUUAUUUUUGUUUUCCAUUUUUUCUAUUUCUUCAAAUCAUUCGUGUUUGCAUAUUAGUUUGACUUGUUUAGUUGGUAUUUGUUUUCUGGUUUUAUAUUUGAAUGUAUUUUGAUUUUUGUUUCUAUUUGGGUCCAAAUAUCACGAGUUUUAAGACUCUGUAAAUGAGCAUUCGAGAGUUUUGAUCUUCAAUGUUGAUUUGGGUGCUGAAAAACUAAAAGAACAAAAAGGGAUUUGAAGCAGCUUCAUACCGCCCAAUUUUAACAACUUGAUUUGGGUCAAUCUUACCCAUGUCUGUUUGGUUUCUGAAGUAAUCAGCAGGGGUUUAAGGGGUAGUCUUGGAAUUUAGGCUAGGUAAUCUCUAAUAACUAAUUUAAGAAGUUGCUAGGAAGGUGCCUUUGGGACUAUUUUGAAAACUGUGUUCUUAAGCCAAGGGUAUAGCAGCAAAAUUAAAAAUUAUAAAAAGUUUUAAGUGUAAAACUAAGUGCAUUUAUGCUGCCCUAAAAACUUUCCUAUAAAGGUAUUCUUACUUCAUUAACAAGGAAGAUGGGGAGAGACUAAAAUUAUGACAAAGUUGCAAGACGGCUGGAGUCUCUUUCAAGUUUUUAAAACACUGAAAUGUUGCUAAAACUAGGUUCCUGAUUUCUGAUUUUGUUUUCUUUGGUUCAUUAGAGUUUCUGAAAGUCUUCAAAUUAAGCAGUUGGGUUUUGGUUGGUAUUGCUGAUUGAAAAAUGGUUUGAGCUGGGGUUUAAAAUUUGUCUUGAGUUGCUGUUAAGAUCAUUGUUUCUAUUGCUAAUGCUAAACUGACAUAUGUUGCUCCUCUAUUAUUGAUUCUUCACCUCUUUGCUUCUCUUUUAAUUCUCAGGUACAUGUUCCUGAAUCUUAUCUAAUGUGAAGCUCGAGUGGAAGAAUGAAAUAAAAAAUAAAAGUUUGAAGCCUAGCAUUAAAUUAUUUGUUCAUAGUUUAGUCUUAUUUCUUUUCUUUUUUCUUUUCCCUGAAUCCCUUUGUUCUUGAAGUUAUUUCUUGUAUUUUUGGUACUUCUUCAAUACUUAAUGGUGAAUCUUGUAUUACAUUUAUUACUUAACCUUCUUCUUUUGCUAAUCAUAUACUGUGAAAGUGAGGCUAUGCUUUUGGGAGUUUAGUAUCAUGUUGGAUUUAGUAGAUGAUGUGUUUGUCUUCCUAGAAUCUGUUGAGUAAUGAGAAAUGUCUUUUUGCCUAGGUACAACUUAGAUGAACUGCAUUUUGUGCAUGUGCUUGGGUGGUAGAGAAAUCUGUGUAGUACUUACAUGUUGCUUCAGCUUUUUCUUUCUGUACUCACAUGUUUAAAAGAAUGAGUCCAUGUUGUUGAGAAUUUUUUGGUGAUUUUGAGAUCCAAGUAAUUUGUAUGCUAAUUUUCUGGAUUGGUUACUGCUAGUAUUGGGAAGAGU
Molecule: long non-coding RNA, 11971 nt
Filed under: Nicotiana benthamiana
Lineage: Eukaryota; Viridiplantae; Streptophyta; Magnoliopsida; Solanales; Solanaceae
Description: long non-coding RNA (NBEN_LNC008296)
Source: RNAcentral